AGAGCUCGUAGGCGGUUCGGUAAGUCGGGUGUGAAAACUCUGGGCUCAACCCAGAGACGCCACUCGAUACUGCUGUGACUAGAGUUCGGUAGGGGAGCGGGGAAUUCCUGGUGUAGCGGUGAAAUGCGCAGAUAUCAGGAGGAACACCGGUGGCGAAGGCGCCGCUCUGGGCCGAAACUGACGCUGAGGAGCGAAAGCGUGGGUAGCAAACAGGAUUAGAUACCCUGGUAGUCCACGCCGUAAACGUUGGGCACUAGGUGUGGGCUCUAACCAACGGAGUCCGUGCCGUCGCUAACGCAUUAAGUGCCCCGCCUGGGGAGUACGGCCGCAAGGUUAAAACUCAAAGGAAUUGACGGGGGCCCGCACAAGCAGCGGAGCGUGUUGCUUAAUUCGAUGCUACGCGAAGAACCUUACCUGGGUUUGACAUGCUGGGAAAAGCCACAGAGAUGUGGUGUCCUUCGGGUCCAGCGACAGGUGGUGCAUGGCUGUCGUCAGCUCGUGU
This 502-nucleotide ribosomal RNA is filed under the name uncultured bacterium. Its description in RNAcentral is "bacterial SSU rRNA". It matches the Rfam family "Bacterial small subunit ribosomal RNA", at positions 564 to 1065 of the family's 1533-position model. The record is from RNAcentral.